RNAcentral lists this ribosomal RNA (465 nucleotides) under uncultured Klebsiella sp. RNAcentral describes it as "bacterial SSU rRNA". It matches the Rfam family "Bacterial small subunit ribosomal RNA", at positions 338 to 795 of the family's 1533-position model. Lineage: Bacteria; Pseudomonadati; Pseudomonadota; Gammaproteobacteria; Enterobacterales; Enterobacteriaceae. The record is from RNAcentral.
CCUACGGGCGGCAGCAGUGGGGAAUAUUGCACAAUGGGCGCAAGCCUGAUGCAGCCAUGCCGCGUGUGUGAAGAAGGCCUUCGGGUUGUAAAGCACUUUCAGCGGGGAGGAAGGCGGUGAGGUUAAUAACCUCAUCGAUUGACGUUACCCGCAGAAGAAGCACCGGCUAACUCCGUGCCAGCAGCCGCGGUAAUACGGAGGGUGCAAGCGUUAAUCGGAAUUACUGGGCGUAAAGCGCACGCAGGCGGUCUGUCAAGUCGGAUGUGAAAUCCCCGGGCUCAACCUGGGAACUGCAUUCGAAACUGGCAGGCUAGAGUCGUGUAGAGGGGGGUAGAAUUCCAGGUGUAGCGGUGAAAUGCGUAGAGAUCUGGAGGAAUACCGGUGGCGAAGGCGGCCCCCUGGACAAAGACUGACGCUCAGGUGCGAAAGCGUGGGGAGCAAACAGGAUUAGAUACCCCGGUAGUC